AUCUACUCCUGAAAAAGAGAAACAUGGCGAUAUGUUGAAGAAUCAUCAGCUCCAUUCUCAGUCAAAGAUUAGCAGUGGAGAUUCAGCUAUCAGGAAACCUACUAGUUCUCAAGAUAAACAGGGUUCUUUCACCAAGAGCUGUAUGUCUAUGAAAUCAGUACCUGAAGAGAAAUUAGCCGCUGAGUCUUUCAUUUCCAAUUUCCCUCAUUUCGUGCGAAUCAUGAAAAAAUUCAACAUUAGUGGCUCUUACACCUUG
Molecule: unclassified non-coding RNA, 256 nt
Filed under: Hevea brasiliensis (rubber tree)
Lineage: Eukaryota; Viridiplantae; Streptophyta; Magnoliopsida; Malpighiales; Euphorbiaceae
Source: RNAcentral